GUCGGCAAAUAAACAUCAUUAUCAAACUGAAAGGUCAUUAACGGAUUAUAUAUUAGCCAUUGAUUCAAGCUCAAAAGAACAUGUAUAUAGUUCCCAAGAAGAUCAACUUAUAGUGGCAUAACUUUAUGACCGAAUGAAUACAGUGCAGCAAGAAUGAGAGGUAUAUAGUUCCCAAGAAGAUCAACUUAUAGUGGCAUAACUUUAUGACUGAAUGAAUGCAGUACAGCAAUAAAACUUGAAAUUUUGAAUCAACAGGAUUUUACAUGAUUAAAGAUAUGUAACUCAAGAAUCAUUUAUACGGGAUCAAACUGUACCCGCCGCUUUAGCUUCUCCUCUUUCAAACUUCUCUAAUACAUGUUAAUACUGUAUCACCGCGAUUUUGCAUGAUGCGGUAAGUUUUUAUUUAAUUGAGAAUGUGGAUUGGUAAUAUUCAGAUGAGGGGCGUGUGGGAAUUACAAGUUACCCUAUAGCCGUUAAUCCCCCACACCCGUCCCCAUCCCUUUGACAAUAUUGGCAAACCACCCUCUCUUCCUUCUGCCUAGGCAAAUCCGUGCAGGCCGCCCCUCCAGUAACAUGUUUCAAUGCUUUGAAAAAGUUACAGCAGCAUUUAACCAAAGCAGGUAAAGAGAACAUCCACGUGUUGUUGAAGUUUCUUCUUAGCUAGUGUAGGCUACUCUAGCUUUUGUGCAUCUAUUAAGCAUCAACUUUGAUGUUGUUCCAAUAUCUACUUUGAAUUUCUGUUUAAGAUGAAUAAAAAAUGGAUCUUAUGACUCAGAAUAUUCUAUCCCAGCUUCCACCAAUACUCUUACCAUGAUCGCUCCCCUUUCCGAUCCCAGCCAUAACUCCUCCACUCAUUUUCCCCAUCAGCUUUGGCUUCCCUAGGCUCUUAGUCCCUUCCAACCCAGUCCGUCUUGCCCUCUCCUAAAACAACUCAGUUUCUCCAUUGGUCUUCUCGUCUUUCUUUUCUUCCCUUUGGCAAAUGUACUUUCCUUUUAGAUUUAUAUGUAGG
Molecule: long non-coding RNA, 1009 nt
Filed under: Nicotiana benthamiana
Lineage: Eukaryota; Viridiplantae; Streptophyta; Magnoliopsida; Solanales; Solanaceae
Description: long non-coding RNA (NBEN_LNC007136)
Source: RNAcentral